AACCUGAGCCCUAGCUCCUUUUCGUCGUGCUUGUCGUUUUUGCUGCAAUGAUUAGGUUUGCCGUCGGAUGAUUAAGCCAUUGUCGUUUGUCUUAACUGAGAUACUCAUCAGCUCUUUUAAGUUCUAGGAAAACGGAGAUUAGAAGCCCGAGAGAAUUAUGUGCUCUGAUGUGUCCAAUUAUGGUGUAUUGCUGAACUACUAAGGUAAAAAUGCACAGACGAAUUUGUUUUCGUGUAAAAAGGCUAAAAAUUGUGCAAGAAAUUCUGCACGUACAAGCAUUGUGGUUGUUGAACUUAUUGAUUACUUAGAUUGAGGAUUUGAACAAUAAGGAGAUCAUGUACACGAAAACCAAAAUUUGAGAUGAGAAUGUCUUUUGUUGUCUGCACCACGAGUAUAAGCCGGUGGAAUGAGUGAAGCAAUACUGGAGCAGUCAAGGAUUUAAAGGAAUUACCGAACAGUUGAAAAAUAGUUGGCAAUAUGAUGUUGGACAACGAGUCUCACCACACAAACUAAACAUUAGGCUUUGCACUCGAAAUUUCCUUAGCAUCACACUAGAGGGUUUCAUAAGCAUCGCACGUAAAGAAUCAUUGCAUCAGAUAAUCCUAAUUCCUAAAGCUAAAGCUUGCAAAAUUCAGAUUACCAUCAACUCUACUGAAAACAAAGAAUUUCAUCAUAUAAAUAGGCUCUCUAAAAGUUCUACUGAAAUAGGAUAUCUG
Molecule: long non-coding RNA, 716 nt
Organism: Rhodamnia argentea
Lineage: Eukaryota; Viridiplantae; Streptophyta; Magnoliopsida; Myrtales; Myrtaceae
Exons: 2
Source: RefSeq, a predicted model, not a curated record